This 678-nucleotide long non-coding RNA is filed under the name Equus caballus (horse). Its description in RNAcentral is "lncRNA (ENSECAG00000040382.3)". Lineage: Eukaryota; Metazoa; Chordata; Mammalia; Perissodactyla; Equidae. The record is from RNAcentral.
CACACUCUACUGCCAUGAUCUCCUGAAGCAUGUGAACCUCCGUGACCUCCCUCACAAAUGUCCCCAGGCAUUGCUGAUGUGGCUGCAUAGCAUGGAUGGUCAGGAGACUGUCCAGUGAAUCUUGCAAACUCCUCCUCCCCCAACCUCAGCCAGGAGAUCACUCCUGGGUGAAGUCCUCCCAUCUCAAGCACAGUGAGGCUGUGGGUUGCAGGCUUCAGGACUGGCAUUCCUCUUGGGUAAAGCUUGCCCAUCUGCCACUCAAGAAGACUUUGAAAGUUUGAGUGGGGACCUCAUCUUAUUUACCUUGUCUUCAGUGCCCAGGAUGGUGUAAACAACACCCAGCACAUGUGUUCCCAACAGGAUCCUAGAGAGGCUGUUGGUGUGCUAUGGAGAAUACCCCAAACCUCUUCCUUGCCCAUCUCGCUUACAGAGUUGAGCUGCCAGCAGAAGCCAGUCCAGAGCUCGCACUCUGGGCUCAGAGAUCCCCAGUGCCUAUCAGUCUAUUCACCUUCCAGCUCAUGUGAGAACUGUGAAGCCUCCACUUCCUCAAAUACCCACAGCACUGGGCUUUUGCGGGUUGUGAAUGAGAGAAGGCAAUGGUCAGGAAGAUGCUCUGCUCUCCCCGGGAGACAUCACCAAAGACACGAGAGGAAACUCUGGCCCAAGCUCACCUGAUGC